GUCCACGCCCUAAACGAUGUCAACUAGGUGUUGGGGGAGCGAUUUCUCAGUACCGUAGCUAACGCGUGAAGUUGACCGCCUGGGGAGUACGGCCGCAAGGUUAAAACUCAAAGGAAUUGACGGGGACCCGCACAAGCGGUGGAUGAUGUGGAUUAAUUCGAUGCAACGCGAACAACCUUACCUACCCUUGACAUGUCCGGAAGCCUGCCGAGAGGUGGGUGUGCCUGAAAGGGAAUCGGAACACAGGUGCUGCAUGGCUGUCGU
This 264-nucleotide ribosomal RNA is filed under the name uncultured bacterium. RNAcentral describes it as "partial 16S ribosomal RNA". It matches the Rfam family "Bacterial small subunit ribosomal RNA", at positions 793 to 1055 of the family's 1533-position model. The record is from RNAcentral.